This 254-nucleotide ribosomal RNA is filed under the name uncultured bacterium. Its description in RNAcentral is "partial 16S ribosomal RNA". It matches the Rfam family "Bacterial small subunit ribosomal RNA", at positions 524 to 776 of the family's 1533-position model. The record is from RNAcentral.
CACGUAGGGUGCGAGCGUUGUCCGGAAUUAUUGGGCGUAAAGAGCUCGUAGGCGGCUUGUCGCGUCGACUGUGAAAACCCGUGGCUCAACCAUGUGGUCUGCAGUCGAUACGGGCAGGCUAGAAUUCGGUAGGGGAGACUGGAAUUCCUGGUGUAGCGGUGAAAUGCGCAGAUAUCAGGAGGAACACCGGUGGCGAAGGCGGGUCUCUGGGCCGAUAUUGACGCUGAGGAGCGAAAGCGUGGGGAGCGAACAGG